Molecule: unclassified non-coding RNA, 308 nt
Organism: Callithrix jacchus (white-tufted-ear marmoset)
Lineage: Eukaryota; Metazoa; Chordata; Mammalia; Primates; Cebidae
Rfam family: Metazoan signal recognition particle RNA
About the family: The signal recognition particle (SRP) is a universally conserved ribonucleoprotein.
Source: Ensembl
GCCAGGUGCCGUGGUGGCUGUCUGUAGUCCCAGCUAUUCGGGAGGCUGAGGCGGGAGGAUCACUUGAGCCCAGGAGUUCUGGGCUGUAGUGCGCUAUGACGAUCGGGUGUCCACACUAAGUUCGGCAUCAAUAUGGUGACCUCCCGGGAGCAGGGAACCACCAGGACACCAGGAUGCUUAAGGAGGGGUGAACCAGCCCAGGUCGGAAAUGGAGCAGGUCAAAACUCCUAUGCUGUUCAGUAGUGGAAUUGUGCCUGUGAAUAGCCACUGCACUCCAGCCUGGGCAACGCAGCGAGACCCUGUCUCAA